Long non-coding RNA from Rhipicephalus microplus (southern cattle tick), 935 nucleotides. The record is from RefSeq and is a predicted model, not a curated record. Lineage: Eukaryota; Metazoa; Arthropoda; Arachnida; Ixodida; Ixodidae.
AUGCUGAUGAUCAGUCAACUUCCGUUAAACAGGACUGCGGAGUGAGCGGAGCGGUGUGGUCUGUGUGGUGUACUAACGCCGGUUGUCACCUUGUCAGUCUCAAGAAAUUCCGACCGCUUCCACCCCGCUCGUGUACAAACGAACGAUCCCCACGAUUGUGGCCCACCGUUACCUCGCUUGAAAGCCUUUCGCAAGCGGUAGCGGACAGGUGCUAACUACAGCAACUCCAAAGACCGCACCUGUCUGAGACAUCUCUUGUUUUUUUUUGUUCUCACGUCUGAGAAGUCGGCAGGAUGCUGAUCAAGGUGAAGACACUGACCGGCAAGGAAAUUGAAAUCGACAUCGAACCCACAGACCGCGUCGAGCGCAUCAAGGAACGGGUGGAAGAGAAGGAAGGAAUUCCUCCGGCUCAACAGCGGCUCAUUUUCAGCGGCAAACAGAUGAACGAUGAAAAGACCGCGGCAGAUUACAAGGUCACCGGCGGCUCAGUUCUACACCUGGUGCUGGCACUGCGAGGCGGCAGUGUCACGGGUAGAUGGUGUCAACAGUAGAGCGAGACACUCCAUGGCAGUCCACCUCGCGAGCGAACGGCUACAGCGCUACCCAACAACACCGCUGCACACAAAGUCACGAACCGCUACUAGCUGCAGGUUUAUGGUCUCGGGUUGAACAAAAGCUGUAAGGCUCUAGGUUACAACCAAUAGCCCAAACAUUGAAACAUAACCCGAGCUGUAUACGCUUUGUGCCUUUGAAUGUGCAGCGGUUCUUUUUUUCUUUUAACAAAAAAAACUUGUCCUCAUUUGACCACCUGACAUACGCACUCGGUGAGGUGAACCGUAUUCGAUACUGUAGCCGAUGCCAUUUUAGUUUGAACCGAAUCACAAGCGGGCCUGACUUUUCUCUUGUGCCAAUAAACUGGAGAAAAAGUAAGAAAA